Long non-coding RNA from Equus asinus (donkey), 2660 nucleotides. The record is from Ensembl. Lineage: Eukaryota; Metazoa; Chordata; Mammalia; Perissodactyla; Equidae.
GACAAUUUUGGAAGUGGUGAGCACAAGGUCAGGCAAUGCAAUGAGAAAUAUCCAGAAUCCAGUUGGGUGUUGUUUCAAUAUCUUUUAUGUGUUGUUGGACUCCAAGACUGGAAAAGUAUUAGAAGAAUGAAGGAUUCUACCAAGUUUAAAAGUCUUUAAAACUAGACCCAAGACAUUUCAAUAUCUUAAGAAUCAAAGAAAUGCAAAACCCAGUCAAGUGAAGCAGCAGACUGAGAGGAGUGCAGAGUUCUGUGAGUGGAGAGAAGGGUUAGGAAUUGUGUGAUUUGAAUCCAGGGAGCUGAGAUACUGGUCCCUGAACACAGCUCAGGGGGGUCCCUCAGUCAGGUGGACAGUUCCACAGUCAGCAUCCAGAUUCCACAUGCAAGACAGGAUGUAUUCAGAAGAUCUGGACUCCAGUCACUGUUCUGCACUGAGCUGGCCAACCCUGGGAAAUCUACUUCCCUUGUCUGGGCAUCGUCUGAAAAACGAAGUCGGGACAGGCGGCCUCUAAGUCACAACAGGUUACAUCAUGGCAUCUCCUCUCCCAAGCACUCAGUGAGCCAGGCAAACUCAAGACCCCAAAUGCAUUCUCUCUCUGGAUUCUCACGACACCUAGGAGGUGAGCACUGUUGUUGCCCACAUCAUCCAACUUCCGAGAGAUCAGAGCAUGGUGGUCCACAGCCGCGAGUCCUCUCCCCGCUCCGACUCUUCCCCCAACCUGACGAAGAUGCACCAGGUGGGGUCCAGCAGAAGAAACGGAGACGGAUCCAUCACUGAUUUUUUCCAAACAGUCAGGGUCAGCCUCCCUCCACUGACUGAUGGAGGAGAAGGCAGGGGGUGGUGAGAGCCCACGGGGAGGGGAGAAGGCAGCAAGUAGCAAAGCCAGCACGGCACACAGUCUUGUGUGAGCCUCACGGCAACCCUGUGAGGGGAGCUUGUUGUUCCCAUUGUACAGAUGAAGAAGAGGUUCAGAUUCAGAGAGAUCAAAUCACCUGUCCACACUUAUCAGCGCUGGCCAGCAACAAAGCCGCGAUCGGAACACGUCUUGUUUGCCUCCUCCUAUCACACUGCACUCGGACAAUUGUUUCUGAACAUCCAGACACAUAUUUAUCAAGGCCAGGGCUGUGUCGACUGACAAUGAAAUAACAGGUCAAUUCAGUGGGAAGGAAGAAAAAGUAUUUCUUUAGAAAGUCAGUCUUCUCUUGACACUGUCUGAGCUGAGGUCUUGGGGUCUGAGGCCCAGCCCUGUCCUGAAGGAGCUCCUCUGGACAAGUCCGCCCAUGAGAGGCAUCCAGGGCAGGGAACUGACCGCAGUGGGGACUGGCCUGUAGUCUGGCGCGAGGAGGCUUUAGAAUGGACACGUGGGAGGAAUUAUACGAAUAUGGCCUGAGCAGGGACAAGGCCUGCACAAACCAAGCCAUCUUCAAAACAGAAAGAACUGGAUUUUUUUCUACUUCUCUUUUGACCCCACAUUUGAAGAGCAUAUGUUGAAGAAGAACCACACUCCAGGUCUUCCUGGCAGAUGAGAAUAAUCGACUCUAAGUACAAAGAGACAUGUCCCCAGACUCUCCUGGGAUGUAGCUGUGCCCACCGUCAGGGCUGUGCUGGUGACCCGGCUCCCUGGAAGACAGACUAACAAAAGCCAAUUUCCACUGCGUAAGCACUCCCAAUUCAAGCUACUAAUGUGUUCACAACCGGCUCAUAAAAUCCCUGGACAUUUAACAACCAGCUCUUGCAAGCCAGUGGGACCAGCUCUACACCACUGGGCAGCAAGCGCCCAGGGGGCAGCCUUAUGAGAGAGCAGGGGACAUUUUGGACAAUGGCCAGGGCCUCCUUCCCCACCACGGCUCCAGCCACUCCAAGAUAUCCUGUCCUUUUACUUCUUGCGGUUCCUUCGGCCUGGAGAGUUCAUCCCGUCUUCCUCCUUCUGAGAGACUGCUCUACAUCCUUCAAGACCAGGCUGAGAAAUGCUCUGACCAUUAAGCCUUCCCUGGCCUCUUCAGGUCAGACGCACUCUUGAUCUUCCGCCCAAGCCUGCAUUUCUGUUGAAGUUUCUGCUUCUCCUCCUGGACUGUGAGGCCUGUGGACAGAGGGCUGGGCUCCCUUCACCUCUGAAUGAGGGGCAGACAGAGGGCCUCACGACACAUGUUGCUGUUGGAAAGAGUUAAACACUCGGAUUCCAAGGCAGGCUGUGAACGACGCCCCUCCUUAAGCUGGUCUGAGCCUCCACGUCUCCAGGGGACCCACAGGAGCAGUGCUAACCCGGGUGGCUGGGCGGCCGCUAGCACGCGUGUCCUUUCUCCAGCUGUGGGCAGGGACUGACCAGUGCAGGAGACAGAGCUCCCUCUGGCCGGCCUCAGCUCUGAAGGGAUGUUCCGGGAAGAGCCCGACCACCACCGUUGGCCUUAAACUUGCUAGCGAUCAGACAGAAGGGGGAGGCUGGAUUUUAAGACCAGACCCUGAUCCUUCUCUCAAGCUCCCCAAACUGAGAGCCUUCCACAGGGAUGUGCCCCAGGAUGUCGCCCAGGACCCGCCACGAGAACGCGGGCAUCAGAGGGAAGGGCUAGAUCUUCCAACUGGCGACUCCCCCGGGCCAGAGGGCAGCGCAGGGAAGGACCGGGGUGAGGCGAGAGGAUGAGUGCCGCUGAGAGCGCAGGGAC